Molecule: unclassified non-coding RNA, 520 nt
Filed under: uncultured Glomus
Lineage: Eukaryota; Fungi; Glomeromycota; Glomeromycetes; Glomerales; Glomeraceae
Description: SSU rRNA
Rfam family: Eukaryotic small subunit ribosomal RNA
Source: RNAcentral
AGCAGCCGCGGUAAUUCCAGCUCCAAUAGCGUAUAUUAAAGUUGUUGCAGUUAAAAAGCUCGUAGUUGAAUUUCGGGAUUAAUAUGUUGGUCGUGCCUUGGUACGUACUGGCAUUAUUGAUUCCUACCUUCUGAAGAACCUCGAUGUCAUUAAUUUGGUGUCUUGGGGAAUCAGGACCGUUACUUUGAAAAAUUAGAGUGUUUAAAGCAGGCUAACGCUUGAAUACAUUAGCAUGGAAUAAUGAAAUAGGACGUUUGAUCCUAUUUUGUUGGUUUCUAGGAUCGACGUAAUGAUUAAUAGGGAUAGUUGGGGGCAUUAGUAUUCAAUUGUCAGAGGUGAAAUUCUUGGAUUUAUUGAAGACUAACUACUGCGAAAGCAUUUGCCAAGGAUGUUUUCAUUAAUCAAGAACGAAAGUUAGGGGAUCGAAGACGAUCAGAUACCGUCGUAGUCUUAACCAUAAACUAUGCCGACUAGGGAUCGGAUGAUGUUAAUUUUUUAAUGUACUCAUUCGGCGCCUUAC